UACGUAGGUGGCAAGCGUUGUCCGGAAUCAUUGGGCGUAAAGAGCGUGUAGGCGGCUUGUUAAGUCUUGCGUGAAAUCUCGGGGCUCAACCCCGAGCGGUCGUGAGAAACUGGCAGGCUAGAGUGCGGGAGAGGAGAGUGGAAUUCCUGGUGUAGCGGUGAAAUGCGCAGAUAUCAGGAAGAACACCCGUGGCGAAGGCGGCUCUCUGGAACGCAACUGACGCUGAGACGCGAAAGCGUGGGGAGCAAACAGG
RNAcentral lists this ribosomal RNA (253 nucleotides) under uncultured bacterium. Its description in RNAcentral is "partial 16S ribosomal RNA". It matches the Rfam family "Bacterial small subunit ribosomal RNA", at positions 524 to 776 of the family's 1533-position model. The record is from RNAcentral.